Long non-coding RNA from Esox lucius (northern pike), 2349 nucleotides. NCBI's taxonomy places the organism in Eukaryota, Metazoa, Chordata, Actinopteri, Esociformes, Esocidae. The record is from Ensembl.
UUAAAAACACAAUUGUUUUUCUAUUUUAUAUGUCAUAUAUUAAACACAUAUCUAUAUAAAUAUAUAAAACAGAUUGUGGAUGCCAUAUUUUUGAGGAGUGGAAAUGGAGUUACAAGUAACAAAGAUGAGAACUGAAUUUAAUCUUUUAAAAUGAAACAGGUAUUCGGUAUAACGUCCACUGUUUGAGACAACAAAAUGUAAGGUUGUGCUUUUCUGAGAGGAAAAUGUCUGGUUGGGGAUUUCUUAACAAAAUGCUAUCCCAGUAUUUGAUUAUUGAAUGUUUCCCUAACCCACAACACGCUAGCAUGCCAAGCCUUUUCUCAAAUCCUAUUUUGUCUGUAAUUUGCUGCUGCUUGUGCAUAAAUCAUUUCAUUUGGUGUGGUCUUGCAAGGGACAGUGUCAGAGACCAUUGGUUAUAACCUUUACGUGAACCUUCAUAGACGUGACUUAACUAACCUGCGACCACCGUACUGCUACCACUAAUGUUUGACAGAAGCCCCCCCCCAAGUAGCAAAAUCGGAAGCACCUUUCUUGUAAUGUCCUCUUCUUAAAAGACUGUUAGUUUAUCAUUACUCGUUAUGCUCAUCAGCAUUACCAUCGAUAUUAUGCAGAUGUGGCGAAGACAACAUUUCUUGAGAUCACACGUUUGCACGUGACAGUGUCAUCUAGUGUGACAUUGACUGCUCCUACAUGCACAGAGGGGUUGAGAGACAAGAGGCAGGAAGAGGCCUGGAUGCAAGACACAGUGUGACUGAUGACUAAAGGCUUUUAUGACUGGGUUAGUAGGUGUCAGUUGGUUUGAGUGGUAAAGGUUUCUCUCCCUCUAUUUCUUCCAGAUAGUUAAAGAUAAGUGUUGCACCAUCACACCAGAAUUUUUCACAGAGCUGUUCCAGGGGUCUGUAUGGAGCAAAAACACAGUAUUUUGAUAUAAAAUUCAGAUAUAAAAUGAUAACUAUUGAGGUUUGAAUGUUGUUCUAUGAUCAGAAAUGUGUUGUUUUCUGGUUUGAUUUUACUUUCCUAAAUCCACAUGGGAGAGAGGUUGUCUACGUAGUUUGGAUGACAGAAUACUGAGGAUGAGGAUGUUGCUAUGGGUACUGAAUAUGGUUUUGCGUGGCACUAUGCCGACUAGCAGAGCUUCACAAAUGGUUGUGAUUGGUGAAUGUUGAAACAAAUAUGUUAUUUUACGGUCCCCGUCUCUAGCCUUGUCUAGGCAGUAGUAGAAGUAUGAUGACACAAACCAGAUCAAGUCAAAAAUAGGUCUACAUGAUGUUAGAUGGCUCUCAUCCUGAAAGUAGUUUAUGGUCCAAGAGUUUGAGAAUUCGUGCUUUAGUUUUCUUUAAAGAGCCAUUUCAAACUUUAGCUACCACUUACAAAAAACUCAGUUGGGGUAGUGAGAGCAUUUCUUUUUUUAUGGAUAAAUCACCUUCAAAUAUCAAACCAAAUGUGUAGUCAAUGUGCAGUGAUUCUUUUUUGAAACAUUCUCACAUGCCUCCAUUACUUCAAUUGAUUUUUAGCUGGUGGUUGCUACCAUGUAAGACUUUGUUCAGGGUAAAAAAAAAACUACUAUCAAAUAAAAAGAAACAUUUUAAAUUCUCAUACUUUAGUUAUACCCCAUAUAAAUAUAUUCAGUCAUGCACAGAAUCAGAAGACCAGUGGAAGGAUAGAAAAAUGUUGAGUUUUCUUUUAUUCUUUUAUCUAAGAGCCAUUAAAAAAAAACAACAGAGGUUACUUGUUGUGAAAUUAGUUGUGGCACUACUUUUAAAUGUAGUAUUUAAGAAAAACAGCACUAGAAUGUGUAUUGUGCUUUAUGGUAGCUUUGGAGGCAGCCAUUUUGUUUAAUCAGUUUCCUCAUGCUCAGAGACAGUACCUCACUUUGACUAUGCGAGGUGUUUGACUCGUUUUGUUGGGGGAGUUGUUGAGUGGACAUGCCCAAAUCAGAACCCCAUUUCCUUUUGCCGCUUUCCUUUAUUGAGUGACAGGUCUGCAUGAACUCACAACACCCGUUACCUGUCUUUUUUUUUUCUAUUGAGAAAAACAUUUUGCUCUUUAAUUUCCAUUUCUCGUUCCAUUCUUUCAUUUUAGAAAUGUUUAAAAGGGAAAGAAUACAAUAAAUAAAAAUCUGAAUAUUCAAUCACUUUUCUACUCCUAUUUUCAAAAAAAAGAAAAAAGAAAAAAAAAAGUUGAUUUGUAUAUAAGUGAUGUACAGUUUGUAUCUGUUAAUGUCAGUCUGUCUUUGGUGACAGAGUCUGUCUUGCUUAUAACGCACGCUACCAAUAAAUAAAAAAGGAAAAAAUAUAUUUAGACUGUAUGGUCCUUGAAAGCAAGUUUUAAAUUAAUCUCUGAUGUAUA